GAUGAACGCUGACAGAAUGCUUAACACAUGCAAGUCUACUUGAAUUUGGGUUUUUUAACUUAGAUUUGGGUGGCGGACGGGUGAGUAACGCGUAAAGAACUUGCCUCACAGUUAGGGACAACAUUUGGAAACGAAUGCUAAUACCUGAUAUUAUGAAUAUAUGGCAUCAUAUAAUUAUGAAAGCUAUAAGCGCUGUGAGAGAGCUUUGCGUCCCAUUAGCUAGUUGGAGAGGUAACGGCUCACCAAGGCGAUGAUGGGUAGCCGGCCUGAGAGGGUGAACGGCCACAAGGGGACUGAGACACGGCCCUUACUCCUACGGGAGGCAGCAGUGGGGAAUAUUGGACAAUGGACCAAGAGUCUGAUCCAGCAAUUCUGUGUGCACGAUGACGUUUUUCGGAAUGUAAAGUGCUUUCAGUUGGGAAGAAAAAAAUGACGGUACCAACAGAAGAAGAGACGGCUAAAUACGUG
This 468-nucleotide ribosomal RNA is filed under the name uncultured bacterium. RNAcentral's name for it is "partial 16S ribosomal RNA". It matches the Rfam family "Bacterial small subunit ribosomal RNA", at positions 28 to 507 of the family's 1533-position model. The record is from RNAcentral.